GGAAUAUUGGACAAUGGGGGCAACCCUGAUCCAGCCAUGCCGCGUGUGUGAAGAAGGCCUUUUGGUUGUAAAGCACUUUAAGCGAGGAGGAGGCUCCCAGUAUUAAUACUACUGGAGAGUGGACGUUACUCGCAGAAUAAGCACCGGCUAACUCUGUGCCAGCAGCCGCGGUAAUACAGAGGGUGCAAGCGUUAAUCGGAUUUACUGGGCGUAAAGCGUGCGUAGGUGGCCAAUUAAGUCAAAUGUGAAAUCCCCGAGCUUAACUUGGGAAUUGCAUUCGAUACUGGUUGGCUAGAGUAUGGGAGAGGAUGGUAGAAUUCCAGGUGUAGCGGUGAAAUGCGUAGAGAUCUGGAGGAAUACCGAUGGCGAAGGCAGCCAUCUGGCCUAAUACUGACACUGAGGUACGAAAGCAUGGGGAGCAAACAGGAUUAGAUACCCUGG
This 441-nucleotide ribosomal RNA is filed under the name uncultured Acinetobacter sp. RNAcentral describes it as "bacterial SSU rRNA". It matches the Rfam family "Bacterial small subunit ribosomal RNA", at positions 358 to 790 of the family's 1533-position model. Lineage: Bacteria; Pseudomonadati; Pseudomonadota; Gammaproteobacteria; Moraxellales; Moraxellaceae. The record is from RNAcentral.